Molecule: long non-coding RNA, 221 nt
Filed under: Elaeis guineensis (African oil palm)
Lineage: Eukaryota; Viridiplantae; Streptophyta; Magnoliopsida; Arecales; Arecaceae
Description: long non-coding RNA (EGUI_LNC030449)
Source: RNAcentral
UCUUCUCAUCGACUCGUGGGUCAAUAUUUUAUUAGUCCCAGUUGUAGCCAAGGUGUCUCAAUAAGGUCGGUCGUCACCAAGCCACCUUUAAAUUUGGAGGUCCUGGUCGGGGCUAGGUGUCUCCAUGAGGUCAACACCAAGUCUCUAAAUUUAGAGGUUCUAGCCAGGGCUAGGGUAUCUCCACGAUUAUUCUCAUUUGUUUAGAGGUGCUAAUCGGAGCC